GCGAACGGACGAGAAGCUUGCUUCUCUGAUGUUAGCGGCGGACGGGUGAGUGACACGUGGAUAACCUACCUAUAAGACUGGGAUAACUUCGGGAAACCGGAGCUAAUACCGGAUAAUAUUUUGAACCGCAUGGUUCAAAAGUGAAAGACGGUCUUGCUGUCACUUAUAGAUGGAUCCGCGCUGCAUUAGCUAGUUGGUAAGGUAACGGCUUACCAAGGCAACGAUGCAUAGCCGACCUGAGAGGGUGAUCGGCCACACUGGAACUGAGACACGGUCCAGACUCCUACGGGAGGCAGCAGUAGGGAAUCUUCCGCAAUGGGCGAAAGCCUGACGGAGCAACGCCGCGUGAGUNAUGAAGGUCUUCGGAUCGUAAAACUCUGUUAUUAGGGAAGAACAUAUGUGUAAGUAACUGUGCACAUCUUGACGGUACCUAAUCAGAAAGCCACGGCUAACUACGUGCCAGCAGCCGCGGUAAUACGUAGGUGGCAAGCGUUAUCCGGAAUUAUUGGGCGUAAAGCGCGCGUAGGCGGUUUUUUAAGUCUGAUGUGAAAGCCCACGGCUCAACCGUGGAGGGUCAUUGGACACUGGAAAACUUGAGUGCAGAAGAGGAAAGUGGAAUUCCAUGUGUAGCGGUGAAAUGCGCAGAGAUAUGGAGGAACACCAGUGGCGAAGGCGACUUUCUGGUCUGUAACUGACGCUGAUGUGCGAAAGCGUGGGGAUCAAACAGGAUUAGAUACCCUGGUAGUCCACGCCGUAAACGAUGAGUGCUAAGUGUUAGGGGGUUUCCGCCCCUUAGUGCUGCAGUAA
This 807-nucleotide ribosomal RNA is filed under the name uncultured Staphylococcus sp. RNAcentral describes it as "bacterial SSU rRNA". It matches the Rfam family "Bacterial small subunit ribosomal RNA", at positions 66 to 854 of the family's 1533-position model. The record is from RNAcentral. Lineage: Bacteria; Bacillati; Bacillota; Bacilli; Caryophanales; Staphylococcaceae.